This 301-nucleotide ribosomal RNA is filed under the name uncultured bacterium. RNAcentral describes it as "partial 16S ribosomal RNA". It matches the Rfam family "Bacterial small subunit ribosomal RNA", at positions 509 to 807 of the family's 1533-position model. The record is from RNAcentral.
CAGUCGCCGCGGUAAUACGUAGGGUGCGAGCGUUAAUCGGAAUUACUGGGCGUAAAGCGUGCGCAGGCGGUUUCUUAAGUCUGAUGUGAAAGCCCCCGGCUCAACCGGGGAGGGUCAUUGGAAACUGGGAAACUUGAGUGCAGAAGAGGAGAGUGGAAUUCCACGUGUAGCGGUGAAAUGCGUAGAGAUGUGGGGGAACACCAGUGGCGAAGGCGACUCUCUGGUCUGUAACUGACGCUGAGGAGCGAAAGCGUGGGAAGCGAACAGGAUUAGAUACCCCUGUAGUCCCUGUCUCUUAUAC